AUUGAACGCUGGCGGCAUGCUUUACACAUGCAAGUCGAACGGCAGCGCGGGCUUCGGCCUGGCGGCGAGUGGCGAACGGGUGAGUAAUGCAUCGGAACGUGCCCAGUAGUGGGGGAUAGCCCGGCGAAAGCCGGAUUAAUACCGCAUACGACCUGAGGGUGAAAGCGGGGGACCGAAAGGCCUCGCGCUAUUGGAGCGGCCGAUGUCGGAUUAGCUAGUUGGUGGGGUAAAGGCUUACCAAGGCGACGAUCCGUAGCUGGUCUGAGAGGACGACCAGCCACACUGGAACUGAGACACGGCCCAGACUCCUACGGGAGGCAGCAGUGGGGAAUUUUGGACAAAGGGGGCAACCCUGAUCCAGCCAUGCCGCGUGCGGGAAGAAGGCCUUCGGGUUGUAAACCGCUUUUGUUCGGGAAGAAAUCCUCUGGGCUAAUACCCCGGGGGGAUGACGGUACCGGAAGAAUAAGCACCGGCUAACUACGUG
RNAcentral lists this ribosomal RNA (484 nucleotides) under uncultured bacterium. RNAcentral describes it as "partial 16S ribosomal RNA". It matches the Rfam family "Bacterial small subunit ribosomal RNA", at positions 29 to 507 of the family's 1533-position model. The record is from RNAcentral.